CAAACACUGCAGAAAAAGAAAUUAAUUCUACAUAUGAGUCUACUAGUUUACUGUUUCCAUUCAAGUUUUUCAGAAACAUUAUCUUACCUAACUCUGUUACUGUCAUAGUCAGUGGUGAAAGACUCUUUUUUCUUAGCGCCUCCCUUUUAAGAGAAGGUGGAUCAGUUCUGUUAAAAGAAAAUAUCUGACAUUAUUUUUGGACAUUGAAGUGACCAUUAAUUUUCCAGCCUGACUACUAGAACUCCCAGUUGGAAAAUGUUCUGGGGUAGACUUGUUGUUACAAACCAUGGGUGCUCAAAAAAUAGGAAUGGAAAAUCAGCAUCAUUAUGCAGCCUUUUCCCAGUGAGGUGGUAGGCAAUAAUUUAUUCUCAAGGGCUGGUCCUCCUGUGGCCUCUGGCAUUGGACUGCACUGAAGAAAGCAAAAGUUCAAGUGAAAAAGCUACUGAUGGCUAUUUAUGGAGCUCAGCGGAAAGACACUUGGUUCAACUGGAUGUUGUCAUAUUGAAGAUUCUGGGCCCAGCAGCAGUUGUACUCUUAAGCCUCUGAUGGCUGCAAAACCCCCUUCCUGGCUAAUGGUAGGACCUCACUAGGUCACUGAUCUGCCCAGGCUGGACUUGAUUUUGGGAACCUACUGCUUCAGACUCCCAAAGUGCUGGGAUUACGAGUGCUCACCAUCACACCUAGCUAAAGGUCAGUUCUUAUAUCCUCUCAUCUACUUGAUUCCUUAACCUUGCUUUUCCCUGGGCAUACAUAGUGUGUAUCUCAGUGUGUUUAGGCUGCUAUAAAAAAGUACCUCAGACUGGGUAAUUUAUAAACAACAGAAAUUUAUUUCUCAAAGUUCUGGAAGCAGAUUUGAUAUCUGGCAAGGGCUGUACUCUUCUUCCAAGAUGGUGCCUUCUGUGCUUUCUGGAGGGAAUAAAUUCUGUGUUCUCAUUUGGUAGAUGGAGUGGAAGGCAAAAAAGGAUGAACUCACUCCCUCAGGCCCUUAUGGGGCACUAAUCCUCACCAUGAGGGUUAAGUCCUCAUGGCCUAAUUACCUCCCAAAGGUCUCACCCAUUAAUACCGUCACUUUGAGGCUUAAGUUCCAAUAUGAAUUUUGAAGAGACACACACACACUCAACAUAGUCACACUUGGUAUCAAUAUCCAGUAUCGUCCUGCUCAUUCUGCACUGUAUUAAUCUCCAAGUAUUUAUUUUCUCUUGAAAAGCAAAGGUGUCACAGUGUUUGGAAACUUGUCUUACAGGCUUUAAAUCUGCUAGAAUGCUUAGCACAGACCUUUGUCUAUAGUCAUGUUUCAAAAUACAUUGAGUCUAAUUGAAUGGCAUCCUUUGCCAAGAGAAAAAAUUCUGUUUUUGUUUUACAAUUUGGGCAUCAAAUUGUGUAUGCAGGAGAAAUUGAAGCCAUGGGAGAAGCAAUUUCAACAAAGCCAAAAUUUGAUUGUGAGAGUUGCUUAUAUUUCAAUAUGUUUUUGAAUGAAAAUAUGUUGUUCAGUGGAUAAUUUGAAGUCCAAAUAAUUUCCUGGG
RNAcentral lists this long non-coding RNA (1523 nucleotides) under Heterocephalus glaber (naked mole-rat). RNAcentral describes it as "lncRNA (ENSHGLG00100044376.1)". The record is from RNAcentral. Lineage: Eukaryota; Metazoa; Chordata; Mammalia; Rodentia; Bathyergidae.